Molecule: ribosomal RNA, 647 nt
Filed under: Bacillus cereus
Lineage: Bacteria; Bacillati; Bacillota; Bacilli; Caryophanales; Bacillaceae
Description: bacterial SSU rRNA
Rfam family: Bacterial small subunit ribosomal RNA
Source: RNAcentral
GAUGAACGCUGGCGGCGUGCCUAAUACAUGCAAGUCGAGCGAAUGGAUUAAGAGCUUGCUCUUAUGAAGUUAGCGGCGGACGGGUGAGUAACACGUGGGUAACCUGCCCAUAAGACUGGGAUAACUCCGGGAAACCGGGGCUAAUACCGGAUAACAUUUUGAACCGCAUGGUUCGAAAUUGAAAGGCGGCUUCGGCUGUCACUUAUGGAUGGACCCGCGUCGCAUUAGCUAGUUGGUGAGGUAACGGCUCACCAAGGCAACGAUGCGUAGCCGACCUGAGAGGGUGAUCGGCCACACUGGGACUGAGACACGGCCCAGACUCCUACGGGAGGCAGCAGUAGGGAAUCUUCCGCAAUGGACGAAAGUCUGACGGAGCAACGCCGCGUGAGUGAUGAAGGCUUUCGGGUCGUAAAACUCUGUUGUUAGGGAAGAACAAGUGCUAGUUGAAUAAGCUGGCACCUUGACGGUACCUAACCAGAAAGCCACGGCUAACUACGUGCCAGCAGCCGCGGUAAUACGUAGGUGGCAAGCGUUAUCCGGAAUUAUUGGGCGUAAAGCGCGCGCAGGUGGUUUCUUAAGUCUGAUGUGAAAGCCCACGGCUCAACCGUGGAGGGUCAUUGGAAACUGGGAGACUUGAGUGCAGAAGA